This 232-nucleotide long non-coding RNA is filed under the name Gossypium raimondii (Peruvian cotton). RNAcentral describes it as "long non-coding RNA (GRAI_LNC004077)". The record is from RNAcentral. Lineage: Eukaryota; Viridiplantae; Streptophyta; Magnoliopsida; Malvales; Malvaceae.
ACUAUACUGCCUUUACAAUUUCCACUACCAAUUUUCACUAACCUAGUUAUACCCAUUUGGUUCUUACCGAGCCACCAUUUCCCCUAUCACCAUUGAACCCCCACUCUCAAUACCACCACGAUUAUCACCACCUUUGUAAGGAAAUCCUAAAUCUCAUUACCUAUACAACAUUGUUACCAACCUCCUUAUAACCUAGCAUUACUCAAGACAAACCCUAAAUAUUACAUCAAAC